Small nuclear RNA from Arvicola amphibius (Eurasian water vole), 104 nucleotides. Lineage: Eukaryota; Metazoa; Chordata; Mammalia; Rodentia; Cricetidae. The record is from RefSeq and is a predicted model, not a curated record.
GUGCUCACUUCGGCAGCACAUAUACUAAAAUUGGAACAACACAGAGAUUAGCAUGACCGAUACACAAGGAUCCCACGCAGAUUUGUGAAGUGGUCCAUAUUUUU